RNAcentral lists this ribosomal RNA (253 nucleotides) under uncultured bacterium. RNAcentral's name for it is "partial 16S ribosomal RNA". It matches the Rfam family "Bacterial small subunit ribosomal RNA", at positions 524 to 776 of the family's 1533-position model. The record is from RNAcentral.
UACGAAGGUGGCAAGCGUUGUUCGGAUUUACUGGGCGUACAGGGAGCGUAGGCGGUUGGGUAAGCCCUCCGUGAAAUCUCCGGGCCUAACCCGGAAAGUGCGGAGGGGACUGCUCAGCUAGAGGAUGGGAGAGGAGCGCGGAAUUCCCGGUGUAGCGGUGAAAUGCGUAGAGAUCGGGAGGAAGGCCGGUGGCGAAGGCGGCGCUCUGGAACAUUUCUGACGCUGAGGCUCGAAAGCGUGGGGAGCAAACAGG